GGUGAACGCUGGCGGCGUGCUUAACACAUGCAAGUCGAACGAGAACGGAAUAUAGCUUGCUAUAUUUGUCAGCUAAGUGGCGCACGGGUGAGUAAUGUAUAGAUAACCUGCCCUUAAGAAAGGAAUAACAGUUGGAAACGACUGCUAAUGCCCUAUAUGCCUUUAAUACAUAAGUAUGCAAGGGAAACGCUUUAGUGCUUAAGGAUGGGUCUGUAUGGUAUCAGCUUGUUGGUGAGGUAAUGGCUCACCAAGGCUAUGACGCCUAACUGGUUUGAGAGAAUGAUCAGUCACACUGGAACUGAGACACGGUCCAGACUCCUACGGGAGGCAGCAGUGGGGAAUAUUGCACAAUGGACGAAAGUCUGAUGCAGCAACGCCGCGUGGAGGAUGACACAUUUCGGUGCGUAAACUCCUUUUAUAUAGGAAGAUAAUGACGGUACUAUAUGAAUAAGCACCGGCUAACUCCGUGCCAGCCGCCGCGGUAA
Molecule: ribosomal RNA, 485 nt
Filed under: uncultured bacterium
Lineage: Bacteria
Description: partial 16S ribosomal RNA
Rfam family: Bacterial small subunit ribosomal RNA
Source: RNAcentral